Molecule: ribosomal RNA, 497 nt
Filed under: uncultured bacterium
Lineage: Bacteria
Description: partial 16S ribosomal RNA
Rfam family: Bacterial small subunit ribosomal RNA
Source: RNAcentral
GACGAACGCUGGCGGCGUGCCUAAUACAUGCAAGUUGAGCGCUGAAGGUUGGUACUUGUACCAACUGGAUGAGCAGCGAACGGGUGAGUAACGCGUGGGGAAUCUGCCUUUGAGCGGGGGACAACAUUUGGAAACGAAUGCUAAUACCGCAUAAAAACUUUAAACACAAGUUUUAAGUUUGAAAGAUGCAAUUGCAUCACUCAAAGAUGAUCCCGCGUUGUAUUAGCUAGUUGGUGAGGUAAAGGCUCACCAAGGCGAGGAUACAUAGCCGACCUGAGAGGGUGAUCGGCCACAUUGGGACUGGGACACGGCCCAAACUCCUACGGGAGGCAGCAGUAGGGAAUCUUCGGCAAUGGACGAAAGUCUGACCGAGCAACGCCGCGUGAGUGAAGAAGGUUUUCGGAUCGUAAAACUCUGUUGGUAGAGAAGAACGUUGGUGAGAGUGGAAAGCUCAUCAAGUGACGGUAACUACCCAGAAAGGGACGGCUAACUACGUG